This 1306-nucleotide ribosomal RNA is filed under the name uncultured bacterium. RNAcentral's name for it is "bacterial SSU rRNA". It matches the Rfam family "Bacterial small subunit ribosomal RNA", at positions 28 to 1381 of the family's 1533-position model. The record is from RNAcentral.
AACGUACGCUGGCGGCACGCCUAACACAUGCAAGUCGAACGAAGUAGCAAUACUUAGUGGCAGACGGGUGAGUAACAUGUAGGUAUCUGCCCUUUGGCCUGGAAUAACACGAGGAAACUUGUGCUAAUACCGGAUAAGUCUUUACGGAGAAAGCUUUAUGCACCAUUGGAUGAGCCUGCACUUGAUUAGUUUGUUGGUGGGGUAAUGGCCUACCAAGACUGUGAUCAAUAGCUGAUUUGAGAGGAUGAUCAGCCACAUUGGGACUGAGACACGGCCCAAACUCCUACGGGAGGCAGCAGUGGGGAAUCUUGCACAAUGGAGGAAACUCUGAUGCAGCGAUGCCGCGUGAGUGAAGAAGGCCCUUGGGUUGUAAAGCUCUUUCGUCGGGGAAGAAAAUGACUGUACCCGAAUAAGAAGGUCCGGCUAACUUCGUGCCAGCAGCCGCGGUAAUACGAAGGGACCUAGCGUAGUUCGGAAUUACUGGGCUUAAAGAGUUCGUAGGUGGUUGAAAAAGUUAGUGGUGAAAUCCCAGAGCUUAACUCUGGAACUGCCAUUAAAACUUUUCAGCUAGAGUAUGAUAGAGGAAAGCAGAAUUUCUAGUGUAGAGGUGAAAUUCGUAGAUAUUAGAAAGAAUACCAAUUGCGAAGGCAGCUUUCUGGAUCAUUACUGACACUGAGGAACGAAAGCAUGGGUAGCGAAGAGGAUUAGAUACCCUCGUAGUCCAUGCCGUAAACGAUGUGUGUUAGACGUUGGAAAUUUAUUUUCAGUGUCGCAGGGAAACCGAUAAACACACCGCCUGGGGAGUACGACCGCAAGGUUAAAACUCAAAUGAAUUGACGGGGACCCGCACAAGUAGUGGAGCAUGUGGUUUAAUUCGAAGAUACGCGCAGAACCUUACCAACACUUGACAUGUUCGUCGCGACUCUAAGAGAUUAGAGUUUUCGGUUCGGCCGGACGAAACACAGGUGCUGCAUGGCUGUCGUCAGCUCGUGUCGUGAGAUGUUGGGUUAAGUCCCGCAACGAGCGCAACCCUCACUUUUAGUUGCCAUCAUUAAGUUGGGCACUCUGAAAGAACUGCCAGUGAUAAGCUGGAGGAAGGUGGGGAUGACGUCAAGUCCUCAUGGCCCUUACGUGUUGGGCUACACACGUGCUACAAUGGUAUCUACAACAGGAAGCAAGACUGCGAAGUUAAGCAAAUCCCUAAAAGAUACCUCAGUUCGGAUUGCACUCUGCAACUCGAGUGCAUGAAGCUGGAAUUACUAGUAAUCGUGGAUCAGCGCGCCACGGUGAAUGCGUUCCCGGGUCU